CGUUAGAGUUGGUUGCCAUUCUUUGCUGUAGCUCAUUUGUUCUUUUUGAUCCAAAGAAAUAUUAGAAGCUUAAAACUUAUCACAUAGGAGGGAUUAAUCACGCUACCAAAAUUAGAAAGCAUGUAGUUCUGAGAGACUGAAUGUCCAAAUUGGAUGCUCAUAGCACUUAACCUCUUGAGAAUCUAGAAUCCACUACAACAUUUAAAAUGGCAGCUGAUGUCUAUGGGAACCCUGGAUGUUUAGGAGCUGGCUAAAGCUAGAGUUCUCAUACUCUUUGAUUAAGGGCACCACUUUCAGAUAACAACAUAGACCUGAAUGGCAUCAUCCAGUAUCCAAGGAAACCAUCGUGGUUCCUUGCUAAGCAUAAAAGUUACAAAAAGGAAGAAGAGAGAUAUGGAGGGAGAAAGGAAAGAAAAGAGGAAAGAAAAAUGGCCAUGGGAGGUGGAAUGUCAAUGAUGCUGAAGGUUUGAACCUGGAUGAUCUCAGAAAAGGGCUGCAAGUUUUCUGGCUCUGCCUUGAAGGUAGGAUUUGUUUCCUCCUUGGGAAAAAAUAACUCAUCAGAGAUAUGAAAAAUUCAGCUGAAUUUAUUUAUGGUGUAGAUAAAGAUCUUUUGCAUGCUUUCCAAUGAUGACGUUUUACAAAACUUACAGAGAGAAGAUCCUGGAGUAGCAGGUGUGUGUCGCAGCAGGAGCAGAGGGUAAUGAUGCCGGGAUGCCAUGCUAGGUAACAUGCACAACCGGUUUGUUUGAACAACAAGAACAUGUUAAAUUCAAGCCUUCCUAUGGAUUUGCUCUUUUCUCACUUCUGGUUGAAAUCCUAGGUGAGUUCCAUAGCUUUUUCAUCCACUUUUGUACAAUAAAAGAAGUAUUCUAGUCUCAUAUAGUCAUAAUAAUAAUCCCAUUUCAGUAAUGAAAAUGAACUCCCAAUUUCAUGUAAAGUUAAAAGCUUCUCUCACCCCCUUUUUGGUCCCGCUGCAGAUGAAGAACCCUUUUGACAUCUCUGUCACCGCCAGCUCUGGAGUUUCCGCUUCCUUGUUGGGGUGGGAGGGAGCAGGGCACGGGCAGGUAUGCUAGUGAUCUGUUGUCUUGUUGUGUGUGUACAACUGACCAGUGGGACACUUUUGUGAGCUCCUUAGAGGUUCCCUCAGCAGAACCAUCCAGUCACCUCUCUUCUGCUUAAAUGCUUUAACUGUUCCUCAAUUUGGACAUCAGUUAGGACCCCUCAGCUUCCCUAUGCUAAGGUUACACCAUCCCUAGAAAAAAUCCUUUCAAAAGAACCCCUUAGCCAACUCCCAUCUAAGGGACCCACUUCUGGUCCACAGAAACAUGAAACUCUCUCCUAUUGUUGGGAGUACAGCUCCAAGUACAGCCACAUCUCUUUGCUCUGCCACCAAGCAGACAACUCCAGCUAUAUAAUCUUUUGCCUGACGUUUCUCAAGGGUGAACUAAGCACUUGUCCUCUUUGUCCUCCUAACUUUAAGGAACUAAGAUCAACCUCCCUGAGAGGUACUCUCAAAGCCUCUCUCCUAGGGGAGGGAGAUGGAAAAUUGCUGCAGCCUCCAACAACUUUCUCCAGAGAAAUUCUUUUGUCUCUUUCAGUUUCCUCAGUUUCAGCUCUUUGAGACCCUUGAGUAGAUGUUGAGUCGCCACGUGGUCGUAGUCCACCUCCUUUCAAGUCUUGUAGAGGAGGUCUCGUGCCUCAUUUCGAAAUGUGGGAGAACAUGCCACCUAUUGUUUUGUUCUUAAUUUCAAGGGGCCUCCCCCCAAACUUAGCAAGAGUCCUUCCCUAACACUUUGUUACACAGGCAAGUAUGAGAUGUGUGUAAACCAUGGGCACUAACCAGAAUAAAACUAAUUCACUUAUGGGAAUUUAAAUGCUUAAACAUAGCUCACAAUAAGCAAACAAUAUUGAACAUCAUUUUAAAAAUGUAAAACCACAUAGAAAUCUAUCAAUUAAUUCAUUCAACAAAAAUUGCUUACCAUUUCCUAAGUGCUGACAUUAUCCCAGGUGCUUGAUGUGCAAACAUAUGAUCCUUUUCCUCAUGGAACUAACCAUCUAAUGAGAAAGUCAUAUGCUAGAAUAUGUCCAAAAGUAAUCAGAACACAAUUUAGCAUCACAAUAGAAGGCUCUGCAAAGACCUAAGGGAGCACAGAAGACCGAGUAUCUGAAUUUAAGAAAGGCUUCACAAGGGACAUUUGAGCUGGGUCUUGAGUGAAGACAGGGCUUCCCCAGGGAGAAAGGAGGAAAGUGCAUUUCAGAUGCACAAUGGUUGUGUGAAGGAAGAGACGGAGAGUUUGGAUGGUGUGGCGUGGGAACAAUGAAGAAGGGGUGCAGCUGGUACAUAGGCUGGUGUGAUUGUGGGAUAUGAAUUUGGGGAUUUGGAAAGACUGUUUUAUGCCAAAGAGUUUCAACUUCUUCCUACUUGUACUGGGACAGUAUAAUUAUUGUUUUGCUUUUCAAAUGCUUGUUUAAAAAUCUUACACACAUGUUAUGUAUCAAUAUAUAUAAAAGUGAUCAUAUACAUAUUGCUUUUUCCUUUUCCUUUUUUAAUUGGGUCCUCCUUCCCACUCUUCUCUCUCUUCUCUGUCUUCUCCCCAUUCCCUAGCCACAUUUUUUCCUCUCCAAUUCUUAACACUUAUUUUGUAUCCUUUAUUUAUUUUCUCCUUGGUUACAUAAUCAUAUUCAAGUAUACAGUGUGUGAAUAUACAUAUGUGUAUAUAUAUAUUUUCAAUAUCCAUACACACAGCUUUUUUUUUUGCCAUUGUUUGCUUCACAAAAGAAUACUUUGCAUAUUUUCCUGCAUCUUGCUUUUGUUACUCAACUAUUCUUGGAGAAAAUGUCUCCAAGUCCAUAGGGCUAGCUCCUUGUAGUUUUUAAAAUAGGGACUUAUAUGAUCAGAAUUGUGUAUCAGAGAUAUGAUGUUGUAGUGGACAAUGAAUUAAAAAGCGGGUAGAACCUGGAGGAAGGGGGUAAAUUCAGAGAUUAAUUAGGUAACAAAUGAUGGAGCCUCAGUCAAUGCAGUCAUAGUUUGGCAAAGUCAAUUCUUUGGGACAUACCAGCCUGAAAAAGUGAAUUAUCAUAUCACACACAUCAAUGAAAUGCCAAUGGCCACCAUUAUCUAAUUCUAAAAUUUUCACAUUAGAUCCUCUGAGUGCUGCUUCGAGAAGCAUAGGUUCAACAUCUUUACCACCAGCCUAGCUGCAGUUUUUAGAAAGGUGCAUUAUUCCUCCACAUACAUCCAUAUUUUUCUAUUUCCUCCGUUAUUUGGCACACUUUUCUAAAAAAUAUCCCUAAUCUCAAAGUUGUUUUGAAACUCAAAUGGCUACAUCCUUGGUGGUUUAGUUUAGAAUUCAUGCUUACAUUGUCUUUGAAUAGCAGCAACAUUUUCCUUCUUCCAGUAACACUGUAAUCUUUCCUUAGGUUGCUCAGUAUUGAAUGUGACUACACUACUUUUUACCCAUAUUGCGAUUAAUGCAAUCAUGUAACACAUUCCUAAUGCCAACUAGUGGCCUUAGCAUAUUACGGUAUAAAUUUUCACGAGUUCUUUAUAUUUGAAAAUGUCUUGUCAACAUCCAAACUGGGUAAAUAUUUCAUUGGAGCAUCCAAUAUGUAAUUACCGGUCCUGUUGUACAAUUCUGGUUUUUCUGCAUUUAUAAAUUCCAUUUAUCAUAACCAUGAUAAAGAUAACACAACUUCUUCCAACUUCUGAACCCCAAUGUAAUUAGUAAUUUAUUACUAAUCAUAAAGUGCCUAGAAUACUAAUAAUUUAAUUGUUUUAAAAAUUACUUCUAAAAAUUUACAUAUUUCAGAAAAGUACAUAGAA
Equus asinus (donkey) is the source of this 3823-nucleotide long non-coding RNA. The record is from Ensembl. NCBI's taxonomy places the organism in Eukaryota, Metazoa, Chordata, Mammalia, Perissodactyla, Equidae.